AUGUGUAUAGAUGGUGAUGGAUAUGGGGACACACAAGAACUAGCGAACUUAAUACCAGAUGCCCUCAACUAUGAAUUCUUUAAUUAUUGGAGGCUUUCAUAUUCAUAUCAAUACAAGGCUUUAGAAUCACUAAGGUUGCUCUUGCUCUGUUCUUUUGGUCAAGGUUUGUCCUUGUCAUUCUUUUCUAAGGACUGCACUUUUCUACCCUAUUUGUUUACUGCUUAUUGUCGUGUUAAUUCCUCUGUUCCUGAUUUUUCCAGGUGUCGUGUUUGUGUGUUUGUUUUUGUGGUGCUGCUUAUAUGUGUGACUACCGUGUGA
This 318-nucleotide ribosomal RNA is filed under the name Triticum aestivum (bread wheat). RNAcentral describes it as "partial small subunit ribosomal RNA". The record is from RNAcentral. Lineage: Eukaryota; Viridiplantae; Streptophyta; Magnoliopsida; Poales; Poaceae.